RNAcentral lists this ribosomal RNA (293 nucleotides) under Mugil cephalus (flathead mullet). RNAcentral describes it as "partial 12S ribosomal RNA". It matches the Rfam family "Bacterial small subunit ribosomal RNA", at positions 505 to 916 of the family's 1533-position model. The record is from RNAcentral. Lineage: Eukaryota; Metazoa; Chordata; Actinopteri; Mugiliformes; Mugilidae.
UUGCCAGCCGCCGCGGUUAUACGAGAGGUCCAAGUUGACAGCCAUCGGCGCAAAGAGUGGUUAAGUGACCCCAAUACAACUAAAGUCGAACGCCCCCAAGGCCGUUAUACGUACUCGGAGGUAUGAAGCACGACUACGAAAGUGGCUUUAAAAUUCCUGACCCCACGAAAGCUGUGAAACAAACUGGGAUUAGAUACCCCACUAUGCUCAGCCCUAAACUUUGAUAGUCUAGUUACACUCACUAUCCGCCCGGGUACUACGAGCUUUAGCUUAAAACCCAAAGGACUUGGCGG